Triticum aestivum (bread wheat) is the source of this 116-nucleotide non-coding RNA. The record is from Rfam. Lineage: Eukaryota; Viridiplantae; Streptophyta; Magnoliopsida; Poales; Poaceae.
UGUAUACUCCCUCCAUCCCAAAUUACUUGUCGCAGAAAUGGAUGUAUCAAGACGUAACUUUUGGUUCUAGAUACAUCCAUUCUGCGACAAGUAAUUCGGGGCGGAGGGGGUAUUAA